RNAcentral lists this unclassified non-coding RNA (224 nucleotides) under Hevea brasiliensis (rubber tree). The record is from RNAcentral. Lineage: Eukaryota; Viridiplantae; Streptophyta; Magnoliopsida; Malpighiales; Euphorbiaceae.
GAAUAUAAGAUGACAAUGCAAGCAUUUUGUUAUCUGUUUACUGUGGAUUAUUGCAACUAUCAUCUUGUUGAAGGUCAAGUAUCCAUGAGAGUCAUCACUCACUGGACGAGCCUUUCUAUUUGUACCAGUUGAGUACGUCUGCCCAAGACCCAGACAAAAAGCUUUGUACCUUACCACGGAAACUCCGCUAUCAAUGUCGUCUGGCCCAGUUGCCCCAACUGGAC